UUUUUCUGUCUAUAAGAAACAAUAGGCUUGGUGGAAGAUGCAGGGCAGGAACAAGCAAGCAAGGCAUUCCCCGAGGCUAGAUGCGGGGUGAGGGGCUUACAUUGCAAACUUCCCUUGCUUGGCUAAUCUUUUGGACCGACGACAAAUAUGGCCGCUUAGAUUCACCCAAGGGCUGAGGGUUUAGGGCCGAGGUGCUGUCCACUUUUUUUGAAUUUGAAACGCAGCCAUAGUUCUAUCCACCCCAUGCAAUUGCAAUCAGUCAAUGUAAUGGACAACUUUCUUUAGAAAUCCACCCCAUACAAUUGCAAUCAGUAUAUAUAAUCUACAGCUAUCAUAAAAUCAAGCGAUAUGAAUCAGACAGUGGGUAGCCAGCCGCCUGACCACAGUUGGUCAAAAGGUUCAAAUCAACGUUUCAUAUCGUGGUAUAGAUGUACUAUAUUGACAAUGACACAAUAACGCGAGAUCACAUGUCCAGCAUGGCCGACAACCAGACCUCCGUUGCCCGCCAUAGGAAGCAAAAUUGAAAUGAAUAAAUAAGACGUUAUCGAGUUGGAUUGUAUGGGAGUCUAAACAGCAAUCCUUGUCCACAACCCCGAUGGCCCCAUACCAGUCAGCGCAACCUCAUCUGGGAGGGCAAAGGAAUUUAUUGAGGGCCAGUUUUCUGCAAACCUGCAGCUUCACAGUCAAAGGGGAUUGACAAGGCUAGGAUGCAAGGAGUACAAGCCUUAUUCAACCAGAAGUCUAAUGAAGCAGGUGGACUUGGCAGAGUUCCAUACAUGGCUGUGGCUGCCAAGAAGGUGGCCAUUGAGGUAAAGGGCAUGCCAGGUGGGAUAGAGUUUUUUAAAAAGCCCUCCCACUAUGGCAUGGACCAACUAUCUACCAUUUCGGAGGCAGGCCGUGGCAUCAAGUUCACAAUAAUCAUACAACAGGCAUCCUUGUAGUUGCAAUGAACUCCAUUAUUACUUAUCCAUGAUUAAUUGUUUUUUAAUAAAUGUUUUUAAACAUUGUUGGGUGUAAUUACAUUG
Non-coding RNA from Oncorhynchus mykiss (rainbow trout), 1025 nucleotides. The record is from RefSeq and is a predicted model, not a curated record. Lineage: Eukaryota; Metazoa; Chordata; Actinopteri; Salmoniformes; Salmonidae.